GGCCAGACUCCUACGGGAGGCAGCAGUGGGGAAUAUUGGGCAAUGGGCGCAAGCCUGACCCAGCAACGCCGCGUGAAGGAAGAAGGCUUCCGGGUUGUAAACUUCUUUUAAGAGGGACGAAACAAAUGACGGUACCUCUUGAAUAAGCCACGGCUAACUACGUGCCAGCAGCCGCGGUAAUACGUAGGUGGCAAGCGUUAUCCGGAUUUAUUGGGUGUAAAGGGGGCGCAGACGGCAGCGCAAGCCAGGAGUGAAAGCCCGGGGCCCAACCCCGGGACUGCUCUUGGAACUGCGCGGCUGGAGUGCAGGAGGGGCAGGCGGAAUUCCUGGUGUAGCGGUGAAAUGCGUAGAUAUCAGGAGGAACACCGGUGGCGAAGGCGGCCUGCUGGACUGCGACUGACGUUGAGGCCCGAAAGCGUGGGGAGCAAACAGGAUUAGAUACCCUAGUA
RNAcentral lists this ribosomal RNA (449 nucleotides) under uncultured bacterium. Its description in RNAcentral is "bacterial SSU rRNA". It matches the Rfam family "Bacterial small subunit ribosomal RNA", at positions 329 to 792 of the family's 1533-position model. The record is from RNAcentral.